Molecule: transfer RNA, 77 nt
Filed under: Variovorax sp. SRS16
Lineage: Bacteria; Pseudomonadati; Pseudomonadota; Betaproteobacteria; Burkholderiales; Comamonadaceae
Also listed under: 2 other names
Description: tRNA-Glu
Rfam family: tRNA
About the family: Transfer RNA (tRNA) molecules are approximately 80 nucleotides in length. Their secondary structure includes four short double-helical elements and three loops (D, anti-codon, and T loops).
Source: RNAcentral
ACUCCGUUCGACUUCUGGUUGAGGUCACCAGGCUUUCACCCUGGGCAGGCCGGGUUCAAAUCCCGCACGGAGUACCA